GUUCUUUCUCUGGAUCUGUGCUUAUUGGGAUAAGAUAGAGGGAUUGAAGGAACAAGACUUACUUUUAUGUUACAUCCAUUAACAAGGGACUGUUUGACAGGAAAAGACUUUCUCAGAAGACUGGUCACUAGAUGAUUGAAGCAUGGUCUUCAGGAGGACCUAUCACAGUGGCUGUUCCAUCCAUUGUCUAAAUCAUGGUUUCCAUGACAGCAUUUUAGUUGUAGUUUGCCACUGGAAUGUGGCAGUGAUGUUGAGUUUGCUAAACAAUGUUAACCUGCUUGUUUGACAUUGGUCUGGAGAUGCUUGGCCCCUUUCUUUUCUGUCUAUGUCCUAGUUUCCUAUAGUUUAAAAGUAUGGUAUUUAGGGUUGGAGGCAGUAAGAUCAUAGUGGAAGCUAUGAGAUUGGUUGAUCUAGAAAAGAGUGAGGAAUGAGUGACUUCAUGAACCCUUACUCACAACUACAAGUAGAUUGAUCCAUAGAUACUCAGAAUCUUUCCAGCAAGGAUGGGCAAGGCCUGGUACCAUCAGAAUGGUAGAGACUGUUCUCUGUCACAUGUUAAGCUAAUGGAGAGCUAACCAGGAGAUGGGCAGAGGAAUCCCUAUGACAUCAAUCACAAUCACAGGUUCUCCUCUAGGACUUUGUCAUCUCAGAAACAUGGGCCAAAUGCUGCUGGGAAGAAGGAGGUGGGAAGGAUUUGGCCCCAGCCAUGUGCACUGGUGGAAUGGGGGCCGGCAGGGCCUGUGAUCAAGCAUGGUGUCAUCGUGCCUUUUCAGAGGAAGGCUCCUAAGCCUCUUCCCCAUGGGGAUUGCAUCAGCUGAGGAGGCUGCUCAUUCUCGGCAGAAACCACUCCCCCACCCCCCCAC
This 863-nucleotide long non-coding RNA is filed under the name Phascolarctos cinereus (koala). Its description in RNAcentral is "lncRNA (ENSPCIG00000015021.2)". The record is from RNAcentral. Lineage: Eukaryota; Metazoa; Chordata; Mammalia; Diprotodontia; Phascolarctidae.